Molecule: long non-coding RNA, 1671 nt
Filed under: Limulus polyphemus (Atlantic horseshoe crab)
Lineage: Eukaryota; Metazoa; Arthropoda; Merostomata; Xiphosura; Limulidae
Description: uncharacterized LOC111083084
Source: RNAcentral
CAGUUAUCAAAGAACUGGUCAGUGACAGUAGGGACCAACUGAAACUCUGGAAUGCCAUUCAUCCACAGGAAGACAACAAUUCUCUUCAAAAGGAACAAAGUGCAUUAGAUGCUGUGUUUUCGGAACUGGAAUCAAUGUUAAUGAAUUAAUAUUCCUUCAGAAGUUACACAAAGACCCUUAUUAAGGACAACAAACUUGUAUCAAUAACAGUGGCUGUAGUUAUACUCGAUAGAUUCACCUACCACUUAGAAAAUGAAAAUGGUGUAGCAUAGAUUGAAUGAUUAUUGAAUCUUUCAGUUACUUGUUAUUCUUUAUAUCCACUCAUCUUGUACAGUUUAUUUGUUCUUAUUAAUUACAAUCAUUCUCAAAUUCACUGUGAUUAUUGUUUGUUUUGUUAUAAAUGCUGCAUUUACUAAAUUUCUCUAUCAAAAAGUUUUAAUAGCUUUUCUCUAUUUACAAGAAAAAUCUUAUAACAGAAGCACCGUAAAUCUGUACAAACAGACCCUUGAUGUUCUCAAUAACAGACUAAAAAGAGUUGUAUUGUUAGUCAAAGUUCAAAGUCUUAUUAAAACUCAAAAUACGCAUCAAGAAAUAGUAUUUAAAAUUUUUAGAGACUUAUUUCUUAAACUCAUGAAAUAAUUAAUGUACUAAACUUGUGUAUUUUCUUCUGGUGGUGUGCUCACAGUUUUCUCUGAUCAGUUGUGUUUGGUUUACUAUGUUAUUAUAGUAGGGGAAGUGAUAGUGAACAUAGUUUGUAAUUAAAUAUAGUUCAUUAUCCCUUGUUACUACUGUCUAAUUAAUAAUACAGUUCAUUAUCUCAUGUUACUACUAUCUAAUUGAUAACACAGUUUAUUAUUCCUUGUUACUAUAGUCUAAUUGAUAACACAGUUCAUUAUCCCUUGUUACUACAGUCUAAUUGAUAACACAGUUCAUUAUCUCAUGUUACUACUAUCUAAUUGAUAACACAGUUCAUUAUCUCAUGUUACUACUAUCUAAUUGAUAACACAGUUUAUUAUUCCUUAUUACUAUAGUCUAAUUGAUAACACAGUUCAUUAUCCCUUGUUACUACUGUCUAAUUGAUAACACAGUUCAUUAUCUGUUGUUACUACAGUCUAAUUGAUAACACAGUUCAUUAUCCCUUGUUACUACAGUAUAAUUGAUAACACAGUUUAUUAUUCCUUGUUACUAUAGUCUAAUUGAUAACACAGUUCAUUAUCCCUUGUUACUACAGUCUAAUUAAUAACACAGUUCAUUAUCUGUUGUUACUACAGUCUAAUUGAUAAUAUAGUUCAUUAUCCCUUGUUACUACAGUAUAAUUGAUAACACAGUUUAUUAUUCCUUGUUACUACAGUCUAAUUGAUAACACAGUUCAUUAUCUGUUGUUACUACAGUCCAAUUGAUAACACAGUUGAUUAUCCCUUGUUACUACAGUCUAAUUGAUAACACAGUUUAUUAUCCCUUGUUACUACACACUAAUUGAUAACACAGUUUAUUAUCUGUUGUUACUACAGUCUAAUUGAUAACACAGUUCAUUAUCUGUUGUUACUACAGUCCAAUUGAUAACACAGUUGAUUAUCCCUUGUUACUACAGUCUAAUUGAUAACAUAGUUUAUUAUCCCUUGUUACUGAAGUGUUACUACAGUCUAAUUGAUAACUCAGUGCAUUAGAACU